This 2773-nucleotide ribosomal RNA is filed under the name Shigella sonnei. Its description in RNAcentral is "bacterial LSU rRNA". It matches the Rfam family "Bacterial large subunit ribosomal RNA". RNAcentral also lists the same sequence under 6 other names. The record is from RNAcentral. Lineage: Bacteria; Pseudomonadati; Pseudomonadota; Gammaproteobacteria; Enterobacterales; Enterobacteriaceae.
AGCGUACACGGUGGAUGCCCUGGCAGUCAGAGGCGAUGAAGGACGUGCUAAUCUGCGAUAAGCGUCGGUAAGGUGAUAUGAACCGUUAUAACCGGCGAUUUCCGAAUGGGGAAACCCAGUGUGUUUCGACACACUAUCAUUAACUGAAUCCAUAGGUUAAUGAGGCGAACCGGGGGAACUGAAACAUCUAAGUACCCCGAGGAAAAGAAAUCAACCGAGAUUCCCCCAGUAGCGGCGAGCGAACGGGGAGGAGCCCAGAGCCUGAAUCAGUGUGUGUGUUAGUGGAAGCGUCUGGAAAGGCGCGCGAUACAGGGUGACAGCCCCGUACACAAAAAUACACAUAUUGUGAGCUCGAUGAGUAGGGCGGGACACGUGGUAUCCUGUCUGAAUAUGGGGGGACCAUCCUCCAAGGCUAAAUACUCCUGACUGACCGAUAGUGAACCAGUACCGUGAGGGAAAGGCGAAAAGAACCCCGGCGAGGGGAGUGAAAAAGAACCUGAAACCGUGUACGUACAAGCAGUGGGAGCACGCUUAGGCGUGUGACUGCGUACCUUUUGUAUAAUGGGUCAGCGACUUAUAUUCUGUAGCAAGGUUAACCGAAUAGGGGAGCCGAAGGGAAACCGAGUCUUAACUGGGCGUUAAGUUGCAGGGUAUAGACCCGAAACCCGGUGAUCUAGCCAUGGGCAGGUUGAAGGUUGGGUAACACUAACUGGAGGACCGAACCGACUAAUGUUGAAAAAUUAGCGGAUGACUUGUGGCUGGGGGUGAAAGGCCAAUCAAACCGGGAGAUAGCUGGUUCUCCCCGAAAGCUAUUUAGGUAGCGCCUCGUGAAUUCAUCUCCGGGGGUAGAGCACUGUUUCGGCAAGGGGGUCAUCCCGACUUACCAACCCGAUGCAAACUGCGAAUACCGGAGAAUGUUAUCACGGGAGACACACGGCGGGUGCUAACGUCCGUCGUGAAGAGGGAAACAACCCAGACCGCCAGCUAAGGUCCCAAAGUCAUGGUUAAGUGGGAAACGAUGUGGGAAGGCCCAGACAGCCAGGAUGUUGGCUUAGAAGCAGCCAUCAUUUAAAGAAAGCGUAAUAGCUCACUGGUCGAGUCGGCCUGCGCGGAAGAUGUAACGGGGCUAAACCAUGCACCGAAGCUGCGGCAGCGACGCUUAUGCGUUGUUGGGUAGGGGAGCGUUCUGUAAGCCUGCGAAGGUGUGCUGUGAGGCAUGCUGGAGGUAUCAGAAGUGCGAAUGCUGACAUAAGUAACGAUAAAGCGGGUGAAAAGCCCGCUCGCCGGAAGACCAAGGGUUCCUGUCCAACGUUAAUCGGGGCAGGGUGAGUCGACCCCUAAGGCGAGGCCGAAAGGCGUAGUCGAUGGGAAACAGGUUAAUAUUCCUGUACUUGGUGUUACUGCGAAGGGGGGACGGAGAAGGCUAUGUUGGCCGGGCGACGGUUGUCCCGGUUUAAGCGUGUAGGCUGGUUUUCCAGGCAAAUCCGGAAAAUCAAGGCUGAGGCGUGAUGACGAGGCACUACGGUGCUGAAGCAACAAAUGCCCUGCUUCCAGGAAAAGCCUCUAAGCAUCAGGUAACAUCAAAUCGUACCCCAAACCGACACAGGUGGUCAGGUAGAGAAUACCAAGGCGCUUGAGAGAACUCGGGUGAAGGAACUAGGCAAAAUGGUGCCGUAACUUCGGGAGAAGGCACGCUGAUAUGUAGGUGAAGUCCCUUGCGGAUGGAGCUGAAAUCAGUCGAAGAUACCAGCUGGCUGCAACUGUUUAUUAAAAACACAGCACUGUGCAAACACGAAAGUGGACGUAUACGGUGUGACGCCUGCCCGGUGCCGGAAGGUUAAUUGAUGGGGUCAGCGCAAGCGAAGCUCUUGAUCGAAGCCCCGGUAAACGGCGGCCGUAACUAUAACGGUCCUAAGGUAGCGAAAUUCCUUGUCGGGUAAGUUCCGACCUGCACGAAUGGCGUAAUGAUGGCCAGGCUGUCUCCACCCGAGACUCAGUGAAAUUGAACUCGCUGUGAAGAUGCAGUGUACCCGCGGCAAGACGGAAAGACCCCGUGAACCUUUACUAUAGCUUGACACUGAACAUUGAGCCUUGAUGUGUAGGAUAGGUGGGAGGCUUUGAAGUGUGGACGCCAGUCUGCAUGGAGCCGGCCUUGAAAUACCACCCUUUAAUGUUUGAUGUUCUAACGUGGACCCGUGAUCCGGGUUGCGGACAGUGUCUGGUGGGUAGUUUGACUGGGGCGGUCUCCUCCUAAAGAGUAACGGAGGAGCACGAAGGUUGGCUAAUCCUGGUCGGACAUCAGGAGGUUAGUGCAAUGGCAUAAGCCAGCUUGACUGCGAGCGUGACGGCGCGAGCAGGUGCGAAAGCAGGUCAUAGUGAUCCGGUGGUUCUGAAUGGAAGGGCCAUCGCUCAACGGAUAAAAGGUACUCCGGGGAUAACAGGCUGAUACCGCCCAAGAGUUCAUAUCGACGGCGGUGUUUGGCACCUCGAUGUCGGCUCAUCACAUCCUGGGGCUGAAGUAGGUCCCAAGGGUAUGGCUGUUCGCCAUUUAAAGUGGUACGCGAGCUGGGUUUAGAACGUCGUGAGACAGUUCGGUCCCUAUCUGCCGUGGGCGCUGGAGAACUGAGGGGGGCUGCUCCUAGUACGAGAGGACCGGAGUGGACGCAUCACUGGUGUUCGGGUUGUCAUGCCAAUGGCACUGCCCGGUAGCUAAAUGCGGAAGAGAUAAGUGCUGAAAGCAUCUAAGCACGAAACUUGCCCCGAGAUGAGUUCU